This 74-nucleotide transfer RNA is filed under the name Malassezia vespertilionis. It matches the Rfam family "tRNA". Rfam says of the family: Transfer RNA (tRNA) molecules are approximately 80 nucleotides in length. Their secondary structure includes four short double-helical elements and three loops (D, anti-codon, and T loops). The record is from Rfam by way of RNAcentral. Lineage: Eukaryota; Fungi; Basidiomycota; Malasseziomycetes; Malasseziales; Malasseziaceae.
GCAUCUUUAGCUAAAUAGGUUAAAGCACCUAACUUCGGAUUAGGGGAUUGAGGGUUCGAGUCCUCCAAGAUGCU